This 64-nucleotide transfer RNA is filed under the name Orancistrocerus aterrimus. Its description in RNAcentral is "tRNA-Arg". The record is from RNAcentral. Lineage: Eukaryota; Metazoa; Arthropoda; Insecta; Hymenoptera; Vespidae.
UAAUAUGAAGUAAUAUACAAUUUAAUUUCGACUUAAAUUUUGGUUUAAAAUUAACCCAUAUUAA